RNAcentral lists this ribosomal RNA (407 nucleotides) under uncultured bacterium. RNAcentral's name for it is "partial 16S ribosomal RNA". It matches the Rfam family "Bacterial small subunit ribosomal RNA", at positions 30 to 526 of the family's 1533-position model. The record is from RNAcentral.
CUUGAACGCUGGCGGCAGGCCUAACACAUGCAAGUCGAGCGGAGCGACGGACGGGUGAGUAAUGCCUAGGAAUCUACCUGUUAGUUAGGGAUAACGUCCGGAAAGGGACGCUAAUACAGCAUACUAUCAGAUCAGCCUAGGGCGGCUUAGCUAGUUGGUGGGGUAAAGGCCUAGCAAGGCGACGAUCCAUAACUGGUCUGAGUGGAUGAUCAGUCACACUGGAACUGAGACACGGUCCAGACUCCUACGGGAGGCAGCAGUGGGGAAUAGUGGACAAUGGGCGAAAGCCUGAUCCAGCCAUGCCGCGUGUGUGAAGAAGGUCUUCGGAUUGUAAAGCACUUUAAGUUGGGAAGCGUUACCAACAGAAUAAGCACCGGCUAACUUCGUGCCAGCAGCCGCGGUAAUAC